This 1495-nucleotide ribosomal RNA is filed under the name uncultured Bordetella sp. Its description in RNAcentral is "partial 16S-23S ribosomal RNA intergenic spacer". It matches the Rfam family "Bacterial small subunit ribosomal RNA". The record is from RNAcentral. Lineage: Bacteria; Pseudomonadati; Pseudomonadota; Betaproteobacteria; Burkholderiales; Alcaligenaceae.
AACAGAGAGUUCGAUCAUGGCUCAGAUUGAACGGCUGGCGGGAUGUUUACACAUGCAAGUCGAACGGCAGCACGGACUUCGGUCUGGUGGCGAGUGGCGAACGGUAGUAAUGUAUCGGAACGUGCCUAGUAGCGGGGGAUAACUACGCGAAAGUGCAGCGCAUUUACCGUACACAAUACCCCUUCUUCGGGGAAGUGAAUCUCUUCGGGCCUCGCACUAUUAGAGCGGCCGAUAUCGGAUUAGCUAGUUGGUGGGGUAACGGCUCACCAAGGUGCGACGAUCCGUAGCUAGUUGAGUACGACCAGCCACACUGGGACUGAGACACGGCCCAGACUCCUACGGAGGCAGCAGUGGGGAAUUUUGGACAAUGGGGAAACCCCUGAUCCAGCCGCCAUCCCGCGUGUGCGAUGAAGGCCUUCGGGUUGUAAAGCACUUUGGCAGGAGAAGAAACGGCACGGGAUAAUACUCCCGCAACCACGGUACCUUGCAGAAUAAGCACCGGCUAACUACGUGCCAGCAGCCGCGGUAAUACGUAGGUGCAAGCGUUAAUCGGAAUUACUGGGCGUAAAGCGUGCGCAGGCGGUUCGGAAAGAAAGAUGUGAAAUCCCAGAGCUUAACUUUGGAACUGCAUUUUUAACUACCGAGCUAGAGUGUGUCAGAGGGAGGUGGAAUUCCGCGUGUAGCAGUGAAAUGCGUAGAUAUGCGGGAGUGAACACCGAUGGCGAAGGCAGCCUCCUGGGAUAACACUGACGCCUGCGCACGAAAGCGGGAUGCAAACAGGAUUAGAUCCCUGGUAGUCCACGCCCUAAACGAUGUCAACUAUUGCUGGGGCCUUCGGGCCUUGGUAGCGCAGCUAACGCGUGAAGUUGACCGCCUGGGAGGCUGGUCGCAAGAUUAAACUCAAAGGAAUUGACGGGGACCCGCACAAGCGGUGGAUGAUGUGAUUAACGAUGCAACGCGGAAAACCUUACCUACCCUUGACAUGUCUGGAAUCCUGAAGAGAUCAAAGUGCUCGCAAGAGAACCGGAACACAGGUGUUGCAUGGCCAGCCGUCAGCUCGUGUCGUGAGAUGCUGGGUUAAGUCCCGCACGAGCGCAACCCUUGGUUGGCUAGUUGCUACGAAAGGGCACUCUAUCGAGACUGCCGGUGACAAACCGGAGAGGAAGGUGGGGAUGACGUCAAGUCCUCGCGGCCCUUAUGUGGUAGGGCUUCACACGUCAUACAAUGGUCGGGACAGAGUGGUCGCCAACCUGGCGAGAGGGGGAGCCAAUCCUGAAACCCGAUCGUAGUCCGGAUCGCAGUCUGCAACUCGACCGCGUGAAGUCGGAAUCGCCAGUAAUCGCGGAUCAGCAUGUCGCGGUGAAUACGUUCCUGGUCUUGUACACACCGCCCGUCACACCGGGGAGUGGGUUUUACCAGAAGUAGUUAGCCUAACCGUAAGGAGGGCGAUUACCACGGUAGGAUUCAUGACUGGGGUGAAGUCGUAACAAGGUAG